GCGCCCGUAGCUCAGAUGGAUAGAGUACUUGGCUACGAACCAAGGGGUCGGGCGUUCGAAUCGCUCCGGGCGCACCA
This 77-nucleotide transfer RNA is filed under the name Candidatus Nitrotoga arctica. Its description in RNAcentral is "tRNA-Arg". It matches the Rfam family "tRNA". Rfam says of the family: Transfer RNA (tRNA) molecules are approximately 80 nucleotides in length. Their secondary structure includes four short double-helical elements and three loops (D, anti-codon, and T loops). RNAcentral also lists the same sequence under 20 other names. Lineage: Bacteria; Pseudomonadati; Pseudomonadota; Betaproteobacteria; Nitrosomonadales; Gallionellaceae. The record is from RNAcentral.